UGCUCAUCUCUUCUUAGAUUUAUCAAUAUUUUGGAUUUGGGUUCUGUUAAAUAAAGUACCACUCUACUCCUUCCUAAGUACUGUAACGUCACAUGCUUAUGUAUGCAAAACCCCAAGAAUAUGAUUUUAUAUUUUGAUGGGGAAAAAUUGAAAAUUUGCCACCCAUAUUCCCUAACAAUCCAAAUAUCGUUGAUUCUUUGUUUGACUUUUGGAGAUGCCACCACUAUUCUGCUUUAGUCACUACUUCUCAGUCUCUCACUCUUCUUUUUCCCUUCAAAAUCUCAACUCCCUAACCUUUAGCCACCCACCACCACUUACUAGCUCCCUCCGUCCUGCAGCUGCCGGCCAACAUCACCAUAUCUUGCCUUUGAUUUUCCCACCACCUGCAGCCACCGUGAGUGAAUCAUUCUGUGGACUUUCAUCUUUCUCACCAACAUACCUCCAUCAUAUCAAAUGAAAUGGAUAGAUGGGUACAAAAUCAAUCUGUAGCUAGCACAACGUUAAUCUAAAAUCGCAUUAAUGUCCUUUUAAGUAAAUUCUUGAAUUCGAAGGAGAAUAUCGAGCGAGCUUUGUACCUGUUUAGAAAUUCAAUUCCGCUCAACUUUGAGUUUAUGAAAUUGGAAGACAGUGUUUUGCUUUGAUUUCAGUUUAAUUCAAAAUUGGGUUCUUGAAAAAUUGAUUGUAUGACUGAAUCAAUGGAGAUUGUUAUUAAUGGUUAGCAUGGCAUCCACGAGGAGUGGUUUGGUGUACA
Gossypium raimondii (Peruvian cotton) is the source of this 751-nucleotide long non-coding RNA. RefSeq lists it as uncharacterized. Lineage: Eukaryota; Viridiplantae; Streptophyta; Magnoliopsida; Malvales; Malvaceae. The record is from RefSeq and is a predicted model, not a curated record. The transcript has 2 exons.